Molecule: ribosomal RNA, 780 nt
Filed under: Triticum aestivum (bread wheat)
Lineage: Eukaryota; Viridiplantae; Streptophyta; Magnoliopsida; Poales; Poaceae
Description: partial small subunit ribosomal RNA
Source: RNAcentral
AUGUUGUCCCUGAAGCUGGAUAUUGCCAAGGCAUUUGACAUGCUGGCAUGGCCAUAUCUGAUAAAUAUGUUGCGAGCCCGGGGCUUUGGUCAGCGAUGGUGUGAUUGGAUUUCUAUGGUCCUCUCCUCGGCCUCUUCAAGAGUGAUCAUCAAUGGCUCGGUUGGCGACCCCAUCUUUCAUGCUAAAGGGGUGCGUCAGGGUGAUCCACUCUCCCCUUUCCUUUUCAUUCUCGCCAUGGAGCCGCUCUAUCACCUCAUCAACAAGGCGGUGGAGACUGGCCUCCUAUCGAGACUGAGAGGCAGAAUCCCCCCGGUGCGUGUCUUGCUAUAUGCUGAUGACGUGGCUCUCUUCACUAACCCGGUAAGGAAGGAGCCUCAGACCCUGAAAUCCAUCCUCGCCGCCUUGGGGUAUGUCGUUGGUCUGCAUGUCAACUUCUCCAAGAGCUCGAUCAUCCCCAUCCGCUGCGACGGUAUGGACGUUGAGGAGUUGGUUGCCCUGCCGCUCUCCGUCAGGAAGCUGUGCAAGAUCGAUUUCUUGCCCCUGCUCGAUAAAAUCUGUGCAUGUUUGGCUUGCUGGAAGGCUCGCUUGCUCUCGGCUGUAGGAAGACUUGUCCUCAUUAGCGUUGUCCUCUCGUCUAUGACAGUCUACUGGCUUGUGAUGUUUGAGCUGCCGGUUUGGGCCCGCCUACAGAUUGACAAGCUGCGUCGUGCUUGGUUAGGGCACGGGUCUCAUGGUGGUCACUGCAAGGUGGCUUGGCGCACGGUCAGCAGGCCCAAAUAG